Long non-coding RNA from Macaca nemestrina (pig-tailed macaque), 1728 nucleotides. Lineage: Eukaryota; Metazoa; Chordata; Mammalia; Primates; Cercopithecidae. The record is from Ensembl.
GCUAAUGCUGACUCGUGUUCUGACUUUGAACCGUUCAUCAGAUCCCUACCUUGACACUCACUUAAGAGAAGAGUGAAGUUUCGGGGACUCCGCACCUCAAGGUAGUUCCACCGCGCGAGGUGCUGCAUUCGCAGUAUUACUCAUGCACCUUUCUGAUAAGAAAAGUGAAAACGCGAAGUUGAAAACUGAAGACGCCCAGCAACUUCCUGAAUCCAGCUCUCCACGUCCUGCCCUAUGGGACAGACAACUCCCAAAGAGGAAUCGUUGGUGGAAGUCCCAUGUUUCGUUGGCGUUGGAAGGGGGAACUGGUCAAGGCAGGGCUCAUCUCUGGACCCACACCCCAUAACCAACAUGGAAGCCUGGAUUUGGCCCUGGGUCAGGCUGGCUCCACAGGGAAGGGUCCAGUCUCUCCGGGGAGAUAUCCCGACUUCGGGUCCUGCUUUCUCUACUAUAAAUGGAGGCCAGCCAUGCCCCUCGGUGGGCCUCAGUUUCCUCACCUGUACAGUGGGGAAAUCCAUAGGACCUACGUUCUGGGAGGGCACUGAGGACCUGUCCAGUGCUCACGAUCAUGACAAGCACGGUGUGGAAUAAAUCCGGAAUAAAUGCUUACUGGGUGAGGGAGGACAGGGAAGAUUUCUAAAAUCCCCCUGACUUAAGAUCUGAUUCACCCAUUUAAAAAACCGUACUGGUAAAUAAUUUGAAAUGUAGAAGAAAGUUAUAAGGAAUCGCACAAAGAAUACUCCCAAACGUUUUGCCCAGAUUCACCUGUUUUCUGUGACAACUUUGAGAUAGAAUUCACACACCAUACAAUUGACCCAUCACAAGUAUACAAUUCAAUGGCCUUUCAUAGUCAGAGUUGUGCAACUGUCACCAGAGUCAAUUUUAGAACGUUUUCAUCACUCUCCUCCCACAAAAAAACCCUCACAUCCCUUGGCUGUCACUCUGCACCUAUUAAUAUUUUUUUAAGUGUUGAGACUUUUUUUUUUUUUUUUUUUGAGAUGGAGUCUCACUCUGUUGCCCAGGCUGGAGUGCAGUGGCAUAAUCUCGGCUCACAGCAACCUCCACCUCCUGGGUUCAAGCGAUUCUCCUGACUCAGCCUCCCGAGUAGCUGGGAUUAUAGGUGCCUGCCAUCAUGCCCAGCUAAUUUUUGUAUUUUUAGUAGAGACAGGGUGUCACCAUGUUGGUCAGGCUGGUCUCGAACUCCUGACCUCGUGAUCCACCCGCCUUGGCCUCCCAAAGUGCUGGGAUUACAGGCAUGAGCCACCGCACCCAGCAAAUGUGAAGACUUGUAUGCAUCUUCUUGACCUGUGGUCUUCGGCAUUUGAGUCUUAGGGGUCCUUUAAAAUAUUGAGAUAGGCCAGGCACAGCGGCUCAUGCCUGAAAUCGCACAACUUUAGGAGGCUGAGGUGAAAGGAUUGCUUGAGGCCAGGAGUUUGGGACCAGCCUGGGCAACAUAGUGAGACCUCCAUCUCAGCAAAAAAGUAAAAAUAAAAAAUAUUAGCCAGGCAUAGAGGUGAGCAUUUGUAGUUCUAGCUACCUGGGAGGCUGAGGCAGGAGGAUCCCUUGAGCCCAAGAGUUCAAGGAUCUAGUGAGCUAUGAUUGUGCCACUGCACUCCAGCCUGAGCGAUAGAGUGAGACCCUGUUUCUAAAAAAUAAAAUCCAUAUUAACAUACUGUGCAAAGACCUCAUAUUCAUUUAUUCAUUCAACAAAUGUUUGUUGAGCACCUG